Melospiza melodia melodia is the source of this 590-nucleotide long non-coding RNA. RefSeq lists it as uncharacterized. The record is from RefSeq and is a predicted model, not a curated record. The transcript is spliced from 3 exons. Lineage: Eukaryota; Metazoa; Chordata; Aves; Passeriformes; Passerellidae.
GACUGGCAGGAUUUGUGUGAGGCCAAUAACGAAGAAAGGGCAGUGUCUGCAGGCAGCUCCCUGCAGCAGCAUCUCGGGACUGUGUCGGGAGAAGGAGCGAGGGGGAUGUGUUUCUUUAGGUCACGGCAGCGCAGCGCUCCCGCUCCCGUCGCACGGAUGCAGUUCCCCUGGCCAGGACACCUGUUUUCUGCUGGCAAAGCUCAAGAAGCCUUUGCAGCUUCAGCCCCCGGACAAGUCCUCACACUAUGAAACCCAGCUUAGGCAUCAGCUUUGCACACCAAAGCAGUAGUGAUCUGUAAUAGCUGCAGCACCAAGAAUGAACCUGGAUGCAUUAGAAGAGCCCAGAAGAAAUCACAUGUCCAAGAGGACUUCGUUAGAUGGAAGAGAUAAUGCAAGGGACCCUGAGGAAGGUGAAAAGGAGGUGCAAAGAGGAGGUAUUGGAGAUCAGAAGCAUGAAACUGCUCAUUUGGUGCUUCUUUCCUUUUCUUUUCCUUCCCCAAGAUUUUCUUUUAAACAGAAUUCUCAGAUGAUGUCUACUUUUUCCUAGAUUUUUUUGUUUGUCUGUUUUGUUUCUCUAGGAGAGGAAAUAA